Non-coding RNA from Vicia faba (fava bean), 330 nucleotides. The record is from the annotation of a GenBank genome assembly. Lineage: Eukaryota; Viridiplantae; Streptophyta; Magnoliopsida; Fabales; Fabaceae.
AUGAAGAAAAAACAGCACCAGCAGUACUCCCUUGAAAUGAAGGCCUGUAGCAAGGAGCAAGUACCAGUACUCGUCUCCACCAAUCAGGUUGUAAUAUCCUCUCCUUGCAAUGGUUCUCUAAGUACACUUAAAUAUGAGAGUGGUGAUAGUCGCAGAGCCAUCAUGUCUCGUCUCCUAUGGAUCUCCAAGAUAAGUGUAAAUAAUGCUUCAUCAUCAGAUUCAUCAACUCCAUGUUGUCUCUGGUUCCAAUUCACCAGCCAAUUGAGCAUAUGGUUGAAGAUUCCGGCAUAUGUCACAGACGGUCCGCCUCUUAGUUUAGAUUGUAAUUGA